AAAUGCCCUUUAUUUAUAUCAAUAUUAUAUUAGCAUACACCAUAGCACUUCUGGGAAUAUUAGUCUAUCGAUCCCACCUAAAAUCAUCCCUAUUAUGCCUAGAAGGCAUAAUAUUAUCAAUAUUCAUUAUAAUUACUCUUAUAACUUUAAAUAUACAUUUCGCUCUAGCAUCCACAAUACCCAUUAUUCUCCUAGUAUUUGCUGCCUGUGAAGCUGCAGUGGGCCUUGCCUUACUAGUUUCAGUCUCCAACAUAUACAGCCUAGAUUAUGUACAAAAUCUAAGUUUACUUCAAUG
This 295-nucleotide long non-coding RNA is filed under the name Homo sapiens (human). RNAcentral describes it as "non-protein coding lnc-GTDC1-20:1". The record is from RNAcentral. Lineage: Eukaryota; Metazoa; Chordata; Mammalia; Primates; Hominidae.